RNAcentral lists this ribosomal RNA (335 nucleotides) under uncultured Gammaproteobacteria bacterium. RNAcentral describes it as "SSU rRNA". It matches the Rfam family "Bacterial small subunit ribosomal RNA", at positions 30 to 367 of the family's 1533-position model. Lineage: Bacteria; Pseudomonadati; Pseudomonadota; Gammaproteobacteria. The record is from RNAcentral.
UUGAACGCUGGCGGUAGGCUUAACACAUGCAAGUCGUGCGAGAAAGUAUCUUCGGAUAUGAGUAGAGCGGCGGACGGGUGAGUAACGCGUAGGAAUCUACCUAGUAGAAGGGGAUAGCCCGAGGAAACUCGUGCUAAUACCGCAUACGUCCUACGGGAGAAAGUGGGGGAUCUUCGGACCUCACGCUAUUAGAUGAGCCCAAGUCGGAUUAGCUUGUUGGUGGGGUAAAAGCCUACCAAGGCAACGAUCCGUAGCUGGUCUGAGAGGACGAUCAGCCACACUGGGACUGAGACACGGCCCAGACUCCUACGGGAGGCAGCAGUGGGGAAUCUUAG